CCUACGGGUGGCACCAGUAGGGAAUCUUCGGCAAUGGACGAAAGUCUGACCGAGCAACGCCGCGUGAGUGAAGAAGGUUUCCGGAUCGUAAAACUCUGUUGUUAGAGAAGAACAAGUAGGAGAGUAACUGCUCUUACCUUGACGGUAUCUAACCAGAAAGUCACGGCUAACUACGUGCCAGCAGCCGCGGUAAUACGUAGGUGGCAAGCGGUGUCCGGAUUUAUUGGGCGUAAAGGGAGCGCAGGUGGUCUUUUAAGUCUGAUGUGAGAGCCUUCGGCUUAACCGAAGAAGUGCAUCGGAAACUGAAUGACUUGAGUGCAGAAGAGGACAGUGGAACUCCAUGUGUAGCGGUGAAAUGCGUAGAUAUAUGGAGGAACACCAGUGGCGAAGGCGACUGUCUGGUCUGUUACUGACACUGAGGCUCGAUAGCAUGGGUAGCAAACAGGAUUAGAUACCCGAGUAGUC
RNAcentral lists this ribosomal RNA (465 nucleotides) under uncultured bacterium. Its description in RNAcentral is "bacterial SSU rRNA". It matches the Rfam family "Bacterial small subunit ribosomal RNA", at positions 338 to 795 of the family's 1533-position model. The record is from RNAcentral.